Molecule: ribosomal RNA, 250 nt
Filed under: uncultured bacterium
Lineage: Bacteria
Description: partial 16S ribosomal RNA
Rfam family: Bacterial small subunit ribosomal RNA
Source: RNAcentral
UACCGAUGGCGACCGGCGCACGGGUGAGUAACACGUAUCCAACCUGCCGAUAACUCGGGGAUAGCCUUUCGAAAGAAAGAUUAAUACCCGAUGGUAUAAUCAGACCGCAUGGUUUGAUUAUUAAAGAAUUUCGGUUAUCGAUGGGGAUGCGUUCCAUUAGGCAGUUGGUGAGGUAACGGCUCACCAAACCUUCGAUGGAUAGGGGUUCUGAGAGGAAGGUCCCCCACAUUGGAACUGAGACACGGUCCAA